RNAcentral lists this ribosomal RNA (440 nucleotides) under uncultured bacterium. RNAcentral describes it as "bacterial SSU rRNA". It matches the Rfam family "Bacterial small subunit ribosomal RNA", at positions 338 to 783 of the family's 1533-position model. The record is from RNAcentral.
CCUACGGGAGGCUGCAGUCGAGAAUCUUCGGCAAUGGGCGCAAGCCUGACCGAGCGACGCCGCGUGGAGGACGAAGGCCUUCGGGUUGUAAACUCCUGUCGAGGGGGAAGAAGGGUCGAAAGACCUUGACUGAUCCCUGGAGGAAGCACGGGCUAAGUUCGUGCCAGCAGCCGCGGUAAGACGAACCGUGCGAACGUUAUUCGGAAUCACUGGGCUUAAAGCGCGUGUAGGCGGGAGGGCACGUCCGUCGCUGAAAUCCCCCGGCUCAACCGGGGAACGGGCGCGGAUACGACCUUCCUUGAGGGGCGUAGGGGGACCUGGAACUUCCGGUGGAGCGGUGAAAUGCGUUGAGAUCGGAAGGAACGCCCGUGGCGAAAGCGAGGUCCUGGACGCCUACUGACGCUGAGACGCGAAAGCCAGGGGAGCGAACGGGAUUAGAU